AAAAACAUCGCCUCCUGCAAACAAAUAGGAGGUCCAGCCUGCCCAGUGACCAAGUUAAACGGCCGCGGUACCCUAACCGUGCGAAGGUAGCGCAAUCACUUGUUCUUUAAAUGAGGACUAGUAUGAAUGGCAUUACGAGGGUUACACUGUCUCCCCCUUCUAAUCAGUGAAACUGAUCUCCCCGUGAAGAAGCGGGGAUAUAAAUAUAAGACGAGAAGACCCCAUGGAGCUUUAAACUUACCAUCAAUUACUCACCCUACACCACACCAAAUAGGUAAUCAUGAUGCUCAGUUUUCGGUUGGGGUGACCGCGGAGCAAAACUAAACCUCCACGAUGACUUCUAAUCAAAGAGCCACAACUCAAAGAAUCAACAAAUUGACAUACUUUGACCCAAAGAAAUUUGAUCAACGAACCAAGUUACCCUGGGGAUAACAGCGCAAUCCAUUUCAAGAGCCCCUAUCGACAAAUGGGUUUACGACCUCGAUGUUGGAUCAGGGUAUCCCAGUGGUGCAGCCGCUACUAAAGGUUUGUUUGUUCAACAAUUAAAACCCUACGUGAUCUGAGUUC
Molecule: ribosomal RNA, 567 nt
Filed under: Arcovomer passarellii (Passarelli's frog)
Lineage: Eukaryota; Metazoa; Chordata; Amphibia; Anura; Microhylidae
Description: partial 16S ribosomal RNA
Rfam family: Bacterial large subunit ribosomal RNA
Source: RNAcentral